This 392-nucleotide long non-coding RNA is filed under the name Vombatus ursinus (common wombat). Its description in RNAcentral is "lncRNA (ENSVURG00010010419.1)". The record is from RNAcentral. Lineage: Eukaryota; Metazoa; Chordata; Mammalia; Diprotodontia; Vombatidae.
GUAGUCCUGAGGCUCCCAAGGCGCAGGCUCGUCUCCCCCCUCCCUUCUAAGGCGGCAUGAAGAAUGCGCGCGCAGCCUCGACGCCAUGAUUGGUUCUUUGGCCUCGAACCAGUUCUUUAUCUGAGGUCAGGCCAGGCCCCGGACCCAAUUCCAGGUCUGUCUUCUCAAGACUUUGCCUUUCCCCAGCAAGAGAGCACUGAGCAGGAGAAGAUGAAUUCUGUACUUCUGACAGCCAGAUCCCCGUCUAGGAUCUCCCUUAACUCAGAUUCCUCCUGUGACCCAACAUGAAUGGAGGCUGGUCGCUUCUGCUAUUGUGGCAAUUCUAGAGGAUGUGCAGGUUUAAGGUAAGAGAUGUGGAAAACGGAGUGACUUUUCCAAGACUACAGUAACCC